RNA transcript from Formica exsecta, 1020 nucleotides. RefSeq lists it as uncharacterized. The transcript has 2 exons. The record is from RefSeq and is a predicted model, not a curated record. NCBI's taxonomy places the organism in Eukaryota, Metazoa, Arthropoda, Insecta, Hymenoptera, Formicidae.
CAACCGUUAAAUAGAACUAUAAUAGAACAAUAAUUAAAUAGAACUUAUUAUGAUGUAUGGAAAAAGGUUAUGAAAAAGUAUUUUUGCAUAAAUUUACAAACUACAAAAACUCAAUUUUAAGGAUUGGUGGUGGGGUAACUCGAAAAAUAUGAAUUUUUUAAUACUUAUCUAUACGCAGCUUUGUAGACAUAAAAAAAAGAUGCAACUUUUAACUUUAAACUUUUUUUCGAUAUCUCUCACCGUUCGGCAGUUAUUUCGCAAAAAAAAGUCUACAUUUUUUUCAAGCGGUGAUUCACCCCCUCAAACCUUAAUUUUGCACAAACAAAAAAUAGUUUUGUGUUACGGAUGAACUACUCUACUUGCACACAAAGUUUCAGAAUUUUCUGAAUUUCCGGAUUGCCUACCUUCCCUUGUGAGCCAAGUGCAAUUAGAUCAUCUGAAUGUAAUAAUCCGGAAUGUAUAACGUUAUUACCAACGAAUGUUGCAUAUAUUUUGAAGUAAAUAUCAGAACGAUCAAUACCAAAGGUAUUCAAGCAUUGCAAGAUGCCGUCUUAUUCAAUGGACAUUAUUAUAAUGUUAAAUGCCAACAAAAAAAUAGCCCAGAAACAGUCAUUGAAACGAUUCGUUCACAUUUCCACAUCUUUAUUGAUUUGGAUACGAGGACACAUCGCAAGAAAACACAUGGCGUCAAAUGCCAGUUAGCAGAUGUUCCAGUUACACUGAAUUUUGGAAAACAGUACUGAUAUGUUUACUUGAUAGGUGUCAUCGAACACAUUCCUGGUCAUUUUAUUGACUACUGUCAAAAACCUUCAGGGCGAUGGCUGAAAUGUGAUGAUAUGCAAUUAAUUGUCGAAGGAUGUGACGAGACAACAGUAAUUACACCGAUUGGGGCUAUUUAUAUUGCGCUAUGAAUCUGAUGUGCAGGUCUGUCAUUAUAAAAUAUAAACUUAUAAAUAUAAAAUAUAGUACAGUUUUGUCAUUAAAAUAUAUAGUUAUGAAUAUAAAAUAUAUAAAUAUCUA